This 229-nucleotide ribosomal RNA is filed under the name uncultured bacterium. RNAcentral describes it as "partial 16S ribosomal RNA". It matches the Rfam family "Bacterial small subunit ribosomal RNA", at positions 568 to 796 of the family's 1533-position model. The record is from RNAcentral.
UGCGUAGGCGGAACUUUAAGUCAGUGGUGAAAUCCUGCGGCUCAACCGUAGAACUGCCAUUGAUACUGAUGUUCUUGAAUGCAGUUGAGGUAGGCGGAGUGUGUAAUGUAGCGGUGAAAUGCUUAGAUAUUACACAGAACACCGAUUGCGAAGGCAGCUUGCUAAACUGUGAUUGACGCUGAUGCACGAAAGCGUGGGGAGCGAACAGGAUUAGAUACCCUGGUAGUCC